GGGAAAGGUCGGGGAGACCAAGGCGUCUCUAUCAUAGCCCUGAUCUGACACUGUGUUCUUGCAUGAGGCUCAGCUACUCACUGUGUUCUUGCGUGAGUCUCCUGGCUGUUAGGAAUUCUGCUGCUCAAGUGGAAAAAACAGAUUGCAAAGUACUUCAUAGAUCACCCUGUACUGAGUAUGGCAAACUGAUCAACAGCCUACUUACUGCUACAUUUAUAUUAUUUAAAAUAACUGCCAGGUCUAUCUGAAUGAUGAUGUAAGAAGACCACUGUUCUAGAUUUUAAGAACAAAAGCUUUGCUGCCUUGAACCCCCAAAUAAUUGCUCAAAUUCAAACUGGUUGUUAGCUUUUUUAAAAGCUCAGCUGAUUCCGCAGGAUGUUGUGGCUGUGAACUGGGAAGCCUGCCAUGCUAUUAUUUUGAAAAGUGCUGUGCAAACAGUGUUCCUCUCAGAUGGUUUCCAGAGUUAGUUCCUUACAAGCAUUUCCUCUUGAAACAUCGGGAAUCUAAAUAAAGAGAAAGGUGUCUAAUGGUCUAGUCUACCAACUUCACUAUGCUGAUUUAUGAAAGAAUUGCUGAAACCCAGUGAAUAAUAGCAUUUGCCCUUCUUUCUCAAAAAAGCAGCAUUUGCUUUCUUCUGGCAAGGAAUAAUUAAGCUAAUUUCUCCAUGAACCUUGGAAAAAGUGGCAACGAAUAAUGGAUUUGUCCCUCAAAGAACAUUUCAAGCAAACAUCUUAUCAGCUACAAAUUCAUUUGAGGCAGUUCCAGGUCAGCCACAGGCAAUUUUUCUCAUUAAAAUACUGUUUAAACUGUUGUAUCCAGAUGACACAGGAGACAUAUCAGACAAACAACACCUGCAAGAAGAAUUGGUGAAGUAUUGACUUUUCAUCAAUCAAAAAGUUUACUAAGCAGAUGAAAAUAAUUUGCCUUCACAGUGACAUUUUCCUGACGUCUUGCUAGUACUUAAAGGCAUUGUUUUUUCUUUAACACCCAAACUUUAAUUACCAGAAAAGGUUAGCAUCAAAACAAAGGACAUGUUGGUAAUUUAGAGGCCAUAUCAGAAAAAUAAAUUCAUUUUGGUUUGAAUGAA
This 1087-nucleotide long non-coding RNA is filed under the name Homo sapiens (human). Its description in RNAcentral is "HSALNT0342116". The record is from RNAcentral. Lineage: Eukaryota; Metazoa; Chordata; Mammalia; Primates; Hominidae.